This 568-nucleotide ribosomal RNA is filed under the name uncultured bacterium. RNAcentral's name for it is "bacterial SSU rRNA". It matches the Rfam family "Bacterial small subunit ribosomal RNA", at positions 338 to 916 of the family's 1533-position model. The record is from RNAcentral.
CCUACGGGAGGCAGCAGUGGGGAAUAUUGCACAAUGGGCGCAAGCCUGAUGCAGCAACGCCGCGUGAGGGACGACGGCCUUCGGGUUGUAAACCUCUUUUAGUAGGGAAGAAGCGAAAGUGACGGUACCUGCAGAAAAAGCACCGGCUAACUACGUGCCAGCAGCCGCGGUAAUACGUAGGGUGCAAGCGUUGUCCGGAAUUAUUGGGCGUAAAGAGCUCGUAGGCGGUUUGUCGCGUCUGCUGUGAAAUCUGGGGGCUCAACCCCCAGCCUGCAGUGGGUACGGGCAGACUAGAGUGCGGUAGGGGAGAUUGGAAUUCCUGGUGUAGCGGUGGAAUGCGCAGAUAUCAGGAGGAACACCGAUGGCGAAGGCAGAUCUCUGGGCCGUAACUGACGCUGAGGAGCGAAAGCAUGGGGAGCGAACAGGAUUAGAUACCCUGGUAGUCCAUGCCGUAAACGUUGGGAACUAGAUGUGGGGACCAUUCCACGGUCUCCGUGUCGCAGCUAACGCAUUAAGUUCCCCGCCUGGGGAGUACGGCCGCAAGGCUAAAACUCAAAGGAAUUGACGG